GAGUUUGAUCUUGGCUCAGAACGAACGCUGGCGGCAGGCUUAAUACAUGCAAGUCGAGCGCCCCGCAAGGGGAGCGGCAGACGGGUGAGUAACGCGUGGGAAUCUACCCAGUUCUACGGAAUAACACAGGGAAACUUGUGCUAAUACCGUAUACGCCCUACGGGGAAAGAUUUAUCGGGAUUGGAUGAGCCCGCGUUGGAUUAGCUAGUUGGUGGGGUAAUGGCCUACCAAGGCGACGAUCCAUAGCUGAUCUGAGAGGAUGAUCAGCCACACUGGGACUGAGACACGGCCCAGACUCCUACGGGAGGCAGCAGUAGGGAAUAUUGGACAAUGGGCGAAAGCCUGAUCCAGCCAUGCCGCGUGAGUGAUGAAGGCCUUAGGGUUGUAAAGCUCUUUCAGUGGGGAAGAUAAUGACGGUACCACAGAAGAAGCCCCGGCUAACUCGUGCCAGCAGCCGCGGU
RNAcentral lists this ribosomal RNA (461 nucleotides) under uncultured bacterium. Its description in RNAcentral is "bacterial SSU rRNA". It matches the Rfam family "Bacterial small subunit ribosomal RNA", at positions 9 to 521 of the family's 1533-position model. The record is from RNAcentral.